UCCGGACCAGAGUUUAAAAAACAAAAUGUAUUUUUAAAACCUUAAUUAUUUUUUUUAUUUAUUACAUAAAAUUAAUAUUCAAAAUUAAUUUUUUCUGUUCGAAUAAAUGACAUUUAAAUUUUUUGCGGUAAUAUUUACUGAGUAUGAAAAGUAAUUAAUUUUUUAGUUAAAUUUUUUUUUGAAAUCAAGAUUUUGUUUGAAUAAAAAAUUGUAAAAAUUGAUAGUUGGCAAGACUUGACCAGGGAGAUGAGUGGGAGAAAGGUCGUGCAGCUGGUGAUACGAGUGCGGCUGCACCCAAACUAACCGUGUGCCGGGGAGAAAUACAGAGACAAGAUAUGACGAGAGAAAAAAAAAUUUCAGAGUCCGGAACGCGGGAUCAUCCAGCUUCGCCUUUACAGGAUAGAAUACAAAACAAAAUUUUUUUUUUUUCUUCUUCUUAUUCUUUUGAGUGAAUUGACGAAGAGGUUGACGACGCACCGCCAUUUUAAAAUUCUCCAUUAGUGUUCUGAAACAAAAAAAAUAAAUAUAAUGUAAAUAAAAAAAAAAAAAAAAAAUUAAUAUAUAUAAUGUAAAUAAAAAAAAAUGAUAAUGUAAAUAAAAAAAAAAAAUAAUAAUGUAAAUAAAAAAAAAAAUAAUAAUGUAAAUAAAAAAAAAAAUUGAAUCCUACUGGAUCAUGGCAAUAAUCAAUCCUACUGGAUCAUGGCAAUAAUCAAUCCUACUGGAUCAUGGCAAUAAUCAAUCCUACUGGAUCAUGGCAAUAAUCAAUCCUACUGGAUCAUGGCAAUAAUCUAUCCUAUUGGAUAUGGCAAUAAUUGAUCCUAUUGGAUCAUAGCAAUAUCUAUCCUACUGGAUCAUGGCAAUAUUCGGGGGGA
Molecule: long non-coding RNA, 872 nt
Organism: Microplitis mediator
Lineage: Eukaryota; Metazoa; Arthropoda; Insecta; Hymenoptera; Braconidae
Exons: 3
Source: RefSeq, a predicted model, not a curated record